This 1536-nucleotide long non-coding RNA is filed under the name Sus scrofa (pig). RNAcentral describes it as "lncRNA (ENSSSCG00070021055.1)". The record is from RNAcentral. Lineage: Eukaryota; Metazoa; Chordata; Mammalia; Artiodactyla; Suidae.
GACGUGGGUACGAGGGAGCGUGCGGGAGCUGAGUUCGUUUCCCAGGAGAGUGAGAAAGAGGGGCCGUGGGGAGCCCGGGCGGGUGCAGUGACCCCGCCGUCGGCGCCGCCAAGCCCCGCCCGCGGCGCUCCCGGGCUUCCCCGCCCCGGCGCCCGCUCCCUCCCCGUCCCUGUCGCCAGGCGCUGGCGGCCCCACGGCCACAGCCUCCUGGCCGCCGCCGCCUCCAGAUCGCCGCCGCCGCCGCCACCACCACCGCCCCCAACCGCGCGCAUCCCGAGCCGCCCCGGGAAGCAGGUCACAGAAGCCUGGUGCUGAGUGGGACCAAGCUUGCGAUUUCUGCUUGCGAGAGCCAAGCCCAGAUCACAGCGGGGUCCGGAAGUGUCACGGCACCUACAAAGGAUCUACUGGGCUCCUGGGCCUGCGCUAAGAUCCAGGAACAAACUGGGCUGAGGUCCCCACCUUUGAGUCACAGGAGACAGCAGAAGUCACAACUCGGAUCUGUGUGUAAGCUUUGUGGGGCUUAUGCUCCCUGUUAAAUAUUAGCUUACUCCCCAGAUUUUUAAAAGUGAGAGAUGUCACUUCAUACUUCUUUUCCUUUUUUUUUUUUUUUUUUUUUUUUGCUUUGCUUUUUAGGAGCCGUACCCAUGGCAUAUAGAAGUGCCCAGGCUAGGGGUCAAUCAGAGCUGUAGCCACCGGCCUACACCACAACCACAGCAAAAGGAAUCUGAGCCACGUCUGUGACCUACACCACAGCUCACAGCAGCACCGGAUCCUUAACCCACUGAGCGAGGCCAGGGAUCGAACCUGCAUCUUCAUGGAUACUGGUCAGGUUCAUUUCUGCUGAGCCACAGUGGGAACUCCUGAACUUCGUAUUUCCAGAUCCUCCUGAGAAAAGAGGAUCAGAGUUCCCAUUGUGGCUCAGUGGUUUAAGAACCCGACAUAGUGUCCACGAGAAUGCGGGUUCGAUCCCUGGCCUCUCAGUGGCUUAAGGAUCCAGCGUUGCCACAAGCUGCAGGUUAGGUCACAAGGGCAGCUUGGAUCAGGUGUGGGUUUGGCUGUGGUGUUCCCUUGGCAGCUGCAGCUCCGAUUCGACCCCUAGCCUGGGAACUUCGACAUGCCAUAGGUGUAGCCAGAAAAAGAAGAGGAUCUGAAAAGCCAACCACUCUGGCCCUGACUUUCGACUAUCCCUGGGAUGGGGCAGACACCCUCCAGGGUGGCACAGUCCCCACCUGGCCCCCCUUGAUUCAGAAAGAGCAGCUUAAUAUAAAAGUUAAUAAUGCAGAUUCCACGGCCAGUUUCUGCAUCCUAGCUCAGGCAUGGCUUAGUUGUAUGGUCUAAAGCAAAUCAUUUAACAUUUUUGUGAUUCAAAAAUAGGGACAAUAAGUAGCACUUCCCUCAAGGGCCUUUUUAGGCAUUAAAUGAACCAACAAACCUAAAACUCUUACAGCAGUGCCUGGUGUUUGGAAUACACUAAGGGUUGGUGUCACUGAUGUUAAUGGCAGUGUAAGCUGCCUGGUCUCUGUAACCAAGCUGUAC